This 404-nucleotide ribosomal RNA is filed under the name uncultured bacterium. RNAcentral describes it as "bacterial SSU rRNA". It matches the Rfam family "Bacterial small subunit ribosomal RNA", at positions 355 to 757 of the family's 1533-position model. The record is from RNAcentral.
UAAGGAAUAUUGGUCAAUGGACGCAAGUCUGAACCAGCCAUGCCGCGUGAAGGAUGAAGGUCCUCUGGAUUGUAAACUUCUUUUAUCUGGGACGAAAACGGGAUUUUUAUCUCAAUUGACGGUACCAGAGGAAUAAGCACCGGCUAACUCCGUGCCAGCAGCCGCGGUAAUACGGAGGGUGCGAGCGUUAUCCGGAUUUACUGGGUUUAAAGGGUGCGUAGGUGGGCUUAUAAGUCAGUGGUGAAAUCUCCGAGCUUAACUUGGAAACGGCCGUUGAUACAAUAGGUCAUGAAUUAUCUGGAAGUAAGCGGAAUAUGUCAUGUAGCGGUGAAAUGCUUAGAUAUGACAUAGAACACCAAUUGCGAAGGCAGCUUACUACAUAUAAAUUGACGCUGAGGCACGAA